UCAGAUUAUUUAUUAAGAGCAAAAGUCGGGCCAUCCCAUCGUGUGAUAUUGCAACAUGAAAAGUCACAUACAUACUAAGGAGACCCCACAGAAUUGAGAGCCUUUCAACAGUACAGAGCCAUAGAUUACGAAGUUAAAAUACAAAUGAUCCCCCAGAUUUGGCAGGAAACAAGUACAAUAUGAGGAGGCCUGGAAUGGAAGGGCACUUACUUUUCAAUAAGGCAGUUACAAAAUGGGAAAAAAAACCCCCAAAACCUUGUACCCCAAAAUAUACUCUGAUGAGCGUAGCAGACAAUAGAAAUGUAAAAGAAGGAUCCUGUAUAACCCUCUGUCAUUGGCAAAUAGGAAAGACAAGGGACCCAAGUACACACACAGCAUCUGGCUGAAGGUAAAACAUUUCCCCAGGUUUCGCUUUGGAAUAAAGAUUCUUUCAGACACAAUUGAACAGAUGGAUCCUACCAUCAUAUAUUCUUGUGCAGAAGCUAUUGUCUCUCUCAACUGGGAAAACAGAUUUGCUGCUAAAGAAAUAGUGAUGUGACCUACACGCCCACAAUUCUGGUUUACGUAUCAGAAAAAUACACUUUUUUACUCAUUAAGAUAUGGACAUUUCCAUGGAGCAAGUUAACAAUGCCUUAACCUGCAGGCCCCAUCUGCCCCUCAGCCUUCUUGAUGCCUGUAUCAACAUCCUUCAGCUGUAAGCAGGGAGAGAAUCUCUAAACACAUAGUGAAUGUGAAUGACUGAAAACACUCACAGAGCACUGGACAUGCCAUCCACAGCCAGGAGGCAUACCAAAAUAGGAUGCCCUCACAGUCCAGAGUAUAUUCUAUAUACAACCAUUUAUAUAUAUUUAAUUUAAAAGGCUGCAAUCUGCUAGACAUGCAUUUUGAACACAGGCGAAAGCUUUGCUGCAAUGGAACAUACUGCAUUUUAGUGAGCGUGGUGACCCUGUCCCCAUUCCACAGAAAGCGUGGUACUCUGCUCCACAGAACUGAGACCUUUGGACACUCCGCCGCCCUGCUCAGUAGGGGGUUUAGUCCUGACUUCUCUGUGAUGGUGCUCAGAUUAAGUCAUCUGUGAAACUCUCUGCCAGGCCAGGCUGUCCAUUGUUCUUAUUAUUUAAGGCUUAAGAAAUUAACUCAGAAUUGAAACUGAGUAGGAAAAUGACACCUUUGACCAUAUGUCAAGAUGGUCAUAAAUUAGAAUCCAAAUUCUUUUCUUUUCUUUCUCCCACCCUCCUACCCCAUACCCUCUGCCCUCCAUUACACAGAUUAAAGAAUUUUGCAAAAGCACAUUUUUGGAUAUAAAGCUUUGUUUUCACAGGAUACUUUGGCUCUGAUAUAAUUAGAUUGAGGAGUUCAACGUUUUGAACAACAAAAAAAUUAGGUAAUUUUCAAAAAUUAUUUUAGCAAUCUUUCUCCCUAAGAGGGAGGCAAAUUGUUCACAAAAAUGAGCAUCAGAUGGAAUUGACCUUUGUUGCCCAAACUCAUGAUUUGCUGAUGACCAGAGCCCAGGGAGUCAAGGCCAGCCAGACUUUCAAUCCUAAGCUGAACUUCUGGGCAGGAAUCACAUGGCCCCUGGCAGCUUGCAUGGUGGUUGUGAACUUAGGAUGAAAACUUCUAAAAAUACUUGCCCCAACCUACUAAAUAUGUCAGUGUGUCAAUGCAUUUAUUACCAAGAAGCUUGGCUGAAGUCAUAAUAUCUAACUGCACCCCAAAGAGUGAAGCAUAGUGGGGUGCAUAAGGGACCGUAUCUUCUGUGAGGGUCUCUAUAUCAGUGUUUCUGGAACCUCAACGAAUAGUUUUGCACAUGCAACUGUCCUGAAAUCCUUAUCUGAUCAGAAACUUCCUUGUUGGUGCAUCAGGAUUUCCUCCACAUUCUAGCAGUUAAGUGGUGAGCAACAGAAAUGGCAGAGGUCUCAGUCAUGAGAGGUGUGAAGCGGAUGUUACAAGGCUGGCACUAUUAGUGACAGCUCAAUUAGCCAAUACCUACUGAUUGAGUGCCUACUGUGUACAAGGCACAGGGUGAGUGAGGGGGACCAGUGUCAAACUGAUCUGCUGAUAAAUGACAAAGCUUGCAACAAAGCGGGCGGGAUAUCUAUGUCGCCAGCGGGCAGCAUGCAAGUCCAGAUGUGGGUCUGCUCAUGCACUUCCAUGGCCAAUUGCACCUUGCUGCUAUUCCAAGCUACAGCUCACACGUGGCAGCCUGGUGGAUAAGGUGAUUACCAAAAUAUUUCUUAUCCCACAUUUCCAGUAGAAUUGAUUUAAUGCUUUGUUGAAUGCUGAAAUACAUAGUUUUUAAUU
This 2301-nucleotide long non-coding RNA is filed under the name Homo sapiens (human). RNAcentral describes it as "HSALNT0096495". Lineage: Eukaryota; Metazoa; Chordata; Mammalia; Primates; Hominidae. The record is from RNAcentral.